This 1132-nucleotide long non-coding RNA is filed under the name Numida meleagris (helmeted guineafowl). Its description in RNAcentral is "lncRNA (ENSNMEG00000006331.1)". The record is from RNAcentral. Lineage: Eukaryota; Metazoa; Chordata; Aves; Galliformes; Numididae.
UCCUUGCAUGUGAUCCCGUGUCCUUGCAUGUCAGCCCAUGACUUCCUGUGUCAGCCUGCAUCCUUCUGUCUCAUCUUGGGUCCUCCUGUGUCAUCCCGUGUCCUCGCGUGUCAGCACAUGGCCUUGCAUGUCAUCCCCUGUCCUUGCUUGUCAUCCCAUGUCCUCACAUGUGAUCCCGUGCCCUCACAUGUCAGCACAUGUCCUUGCGUGUCAGCCCAUGUCCUCGUGUCAUCCUGUGUCCUUGCGUGUGAUCCCGUGUCCUCACAUGUCAGCCCAUGUCCUCGCGUGCCAGCCCGUGUCCUUGUGUCAACCCGUGACUUCCUGUGUCAGCCCGUGUCCUCGCGUGUCAGCCCAUGUCCUCGUGUGUCCCCAUGUCCUCGUGUGUCCCCAUGUCCUCGUGUGUCCCCAUGUCCCCAUGUGUGUCCCCAUGUCUUUGUGUCCCCAAGUCCUCUUCCUUGUCCCCCUGCCACCUUUCACGUCUCCCUGUCCCCACUUCUGUCCCCACCCGUGUCCCCAAGUCCCCCCCCAUCUCCCUCCACCCGCGUGUCCCCCUCUGUGUCCCCACUCAUGUCCCCCUGUCCCCACGUGUCCUGCAGUCCCCGCCUCUUGGUGUCCCCCUCUGACCCCCCCAUGUCCCCAUCUGUCCCAUCUUGUCCCCCCGUUGUCCCCGUGCCGCGUGAUGAGCCCUUACUCAGCCGAGCGCCGUCGCCGUCGGUUUUCCUGGGGAGCGGGCGAGGGCCGCGUCCCCCUCGCACCGACACACAGCCACCCCCGCGGGGACAGGGCCGUCCCCGUGUCCCCAAUGUCCCCGGGGGGGGCCGGCCGAGGCCCCCCGGGGUGGGGCCAGAGAUGUGGCAGCACCCGGGCGACGCCGGCACAGCCCUGGGCUGGGCGCUGUGACGAGGGGACAGCUGAUGGCGCGGGGACGUCGCUGGGGGCGUUGGGGGGAAUGGGGGCAAUGGGGGACAGCGUGGGUAACGGGGACAGCGGGGAUGGUGGGGACACUGGGGACAUUGGGGGUGAUGGGGACAUUGGGGACAUCGGGGAUGAUGGGGACAUUGGGGACAUUAGGGACAUCGGGGAUGAUGGGGACAUUGGGGAUGCUGGAGACAUUGGGGAACAUUGGGGGUGA